Molecule: ribosomal RNA, 548 nt
Filed under: uncultured bacterium
Lineage: Bacteria
Description: bacterial SSU rRNA
Rfam family: Bacterial small subunit ribosomal RNA
Source: RNAcentral
UGGGGAAUUUUGGACAAUGGGCGCAAGCCUGAUCCAGCAAUGCCGCGUGCAGGAUGAAGGCCUUCGGGUUGUAAACUGCUUUUGUACGGAACGAAACGGUCCUUUCUAAUACAGGGGGCUAAUGACGGUACCGUAAGAAUAAGCACCGGCUAACUACGUGCCAGCAGCCGCGGUAAUACGUAGGGUGCGAGCGUUAAUCGGAAUUACUGGGCGUAAAGCGUGCGCAGGCGGUUAUGUAAGACAGAUGUGAAAUCCCCGGGCUCAACCUGGGACCUGCAUUUGUGACUGCGUAGCUAGAGUACGGUAGAGGGGGAUGGAAUUCCGCGUGUAGCAGUGAAAUGCGUAGAUAUGCGGAGGAACACCGAUGGCGAAGGCAAUCCCCUGGACCUGUACUGACGCCCAUGCACGAAAGCGUGGGGAGCAAACAGGAUUAGAUACCCUGGUAGUCCACGCCCUAAACGAUGUCAACUGGUUGUUGGGUCUUCACUGACUCAGUAACGAAGCUAACGCGUGAAGUUGACCGCCUGGGGAGUACGGCCGCAAGGUUG